Molecule: transfer RNA, 71 nt
Filed under: Pseudoclavibacter triregionum
Lineage: Bacteria; Bacillati; Actinomycetota; Actinomycetes; Micrococcales; Microbacteriaceae
Description: Pseudoclavibacter sp. 125703-2019 tRNA-Pro(cgg)
Source: RNAcentral
GCCCCAGCGCAGCAGGCGCGCGCUGAGCUCGGGGCUCGGCCAGCCGACGUUCGGGUCGCCCGCCGGGGCGC